UCUGGUUGAUCCUGCCAGUAGUCAUAUGCUUGUCUCAAAGACUAAGCCAUGCAUGUCUAAGUCCAAGCUGUGUUUACACGGCGAGACCGCGGACGGCUCAUUAAAUCAGUCGUGGUCCAAAUGGGCCAGUAUCCUUUACUUGGAUAACUGUGGUAAUUCCAGAGCUAAUACAUGCAACUGAUACUCUGAUGGCGUGGCAGAGAUGUGGUGGCGAGCUUGUCUCGUGCCCUCUCUGUUCCCUGACGAGUGCUUUUAUUAGAACAAACCGCUGGGAGGUGGGAGUGCUCUGAGCAUCUCUUCGGAGUGCCUGGGUGCCUUCGCCUCGACUCGCUAUGUGGUGACUCUGGAUAACCAAUGCUUAUGACAAGCGCACGUACCUUCGCUCUGCGUUGGACGGCGCUGCCACUUUCGAGUGUCUGCCUUAUCAGCUUCAACCGUUCGCUACACGCGACCGAUGGCUUUGACGGGUAACGGGGAAUCAGGGUUCGAUUCCGGAGAGGCAGCCUGAGAAACGGCUACCACGUCCAAGGACGGCAGCAGGCACGCAAAUUACCCAAUCCCAGCACCUGGGGGAGGUAGUGACGAAACCUAACGAUGCGGGCGCCCGUUACGGGCCCCGCAAUCGGAAUGAGCACUUUCUAAACAACCUGUUGAGAACCUACUGAAGGGCAAGUCUGGUGCCAGCAGCCGCGGUAAUUCCAGCUUCAGUAGCAUCUAUUAAAGUUGCUGCGGUUAAAAGGCUCGCAGUUGAAUGUCAGUGCCGGGUGUUGGUAGGUGGACGCUGGGGAUGUUGGAAUACGUGUCUGCGGGAGUCUGUGCGGCCUCUGGCUGUGCGGCUUCUCGGGCUCUCCUUCAAGCUCCCGUCCGUGACAAGCCUCCACGCCUGUGUACACAGUGAUGUCAAUCCGCGAGAGGGGAGUCUCUUCACUCUCGCACUGGCAUCAAUGUCACCCUGAGUAAAUCAGAGUGCUCAAAGCAGUCGUAACGGGCGCAAGCCCAGUGAACACGAAGUCCUCACGGACAGGGACGGUCUUGGUUUUGCAUGGCAUGUCGGAAUACGACGACGGGCGCUGGCUAAGAGUUAUCUCACAGUGGUACAAGCCAGCCUCGUCGUACUGAUUAAAAGGGCUUGUCGAGGGCAUUAGUAUUGCGGAGCGAGAGGUGAAAUUCUAUGACCUCCGCAAGACUUCCUGAAGCGAAAGCGUCUGCCAAGGAUGUUUUCAUUAAUCAUGAACGAAAGUUAGAGGAUCGAAGGCGAUCAGAUACCGCCCUAGUUCUAACCCUAAACGAUGCCAACCAUCAAUCCGUCGCGUAGCACCCUUUUGUACGGGCUCGGCGGGCAGCUCCUUUCCACGGGAAACCAGAGUCUCUGGGUUCCGGGGGGAGUCUGGUUGCAAAGCUGAAACUUAAAGGAAUUGACGGAAAGGCACCACCAGGCGUGGAGCUUGCGGCUUAAUUUGACUCAACACGGGUAAUCUCACCAGGCCAGCACUCUAGCAUGAUUGACAGAUUGAGAGCUCUUUCUCGAUUCAGUGGAUGGUGGUGCAUGGCCGUUCUUAGUUGGUGGAGUGAUCUGUCUGGUUAAUUCCGAUAACGAACGAGACUCUCCCCUGCUAACUAGUCGGUUGGAUCUUGAUAUGCGAGUCGAGCCCUGCGUUGGUAGACGGCGGGAGCCCUGUGGCUUUGGCGCUGCGUGUUGUGUUGGUCAGGGUGCUUCGGUGCUUUGGCUGCCGCGCGUAGUUGUCGGGUCGCUUGAUCCUUGCCUUGCCUUCUUGUAGGUAGUUCACUCCAAGUCCGCCGCUGUGUCUUAGAAUUCUUCUUAGAGGGAUCAACGGCUCUGAAGCCGUCAGAGACUGAGAGCAAUAACAGGUCUGUGAUGCCCUUAGAUGCUCUGGGCCGCACGCGUGCUACAAUGCCGGGCACAGCAGGUGUUUCUUCCUGUUCCGAGAGGAACGGGCAACCCUCUGAAAGCCCUUCAGCAUUUCUCUCGUGUCAGGCGCAUCUUGCUUAACGGCGGGUGUGUCUCUGUCCGAGAGUGGCGUGCUUGGGCCUGGGGCUUGCAAUUAUUCCCCACAAACGAGGAAUGCCUAGUAGCGGUAGGUCACUGAGCCUGCCGUGACUGAGUCCCUGCCCUUUGUACACACCGCCCGUCGCUACUACCGAUUGGGUGUACCAGUGAGAGCCUUGGACUGGCGGCCGUUGCCCUCACUCUCUUGUAGAGUGGGCACAUCGGCACUCGACUGAAAGAGGUCCGAACUGGUGCACUUAGAGGAAGUAAAAGUCGUAACAAGGUUUCCGUAGGUGAACCUGCGGAAGGAUCAUUAA
This 2325-nucleotide ribosomal RNA is filed under the name Podocerus inconspicuus. Its description in RNAcentral is "small subunit ribosomal RNA". It matches the Rfam family "Eukaryotic small subunit ribosomal RNA". The record is from RNAcentral. Lineage: Eukaryota; Metazoa; Arthropoda; Malacostraca; Amphipoda; Podoceridae.